Molecule: ribosomal RNA, 470 nt
Filed under: Trachylepis sulcata (Western rock skink)
Lineage: Eukaryota; Metazoa; Chordata; Lepidosauria; Squamata; Scincidae
Description: partial 12S ribosomal RNA
Rfam family: Bacterial small subunit ribosomal RNA
Source: RNAcentral
GCGGUGCUCCAUACCGACCUAGAGGAGCCUGUCCUAUAAUCGAUAAUCCACGCUACACCCCACCACCCCUUGCAACCCAGCUUAUAUACCGCCGUCGUCAGCCUACCUUGUGAAAGAACUAGAGUGGGCAAAAUAGUUAUUAACAAAAACGUCAGGUCAAGGUGUAGCCAAUGGGGUGGAAGAGAUGGGCUACACUUUCUACCUCAGAACACACGAAUAGCACAGUGAAACCUGAGCUUGAAGGCGGAUUUAGUAGUAAGGCAAACAAGAAAAUUUACCUGAAACCCGCUCUGGAGCGCGCACACACCGCCCGUCACCCUCAUCACACCAACCUCACAUCUUAACAUAUAAAGUCUUACCACAAAUAGAUGAGGAAAGUCGUAACAUGGUAAGCGCACCGGAAGGUGUGCUUGGAAUACAAACAGUAGCUUAACACAAAGCAUUCAGCUUACAAUUGAAACAUGUUAGUG